Molecule: non-coding RNA, 98 nt
Organism: Kwoniella bestiolae CBS 10118
Lineage: Eukaryota; Fungi; Basidiomycota; Tremellomycetes; Tremellales; Cryptococcaceae
Source: the annotation of a GenBank genome assembly
GUCUUUGUAUUCUAGUGGUUAUGAUUUUUCCUUCACACUGCGUGGAACGCUUCUCGCGUCAACGGAAGAGGUCCUGGGUUCGACCCCCAGCGAAGACA